Molecule: ribosomal RNA, 246 nt
Filed under: Entrophospora sp.
Lineage: Eukaryota; Fungi; Glomeromycota; Glomeromycetes; Entrophosporales; Entrophosporaceae
Description: partial small subunit ribosomal RNA
Rfam family: Eukaryotic small subunit ribosomal RNA
Source: RNAcentral
GGAUUGAUACAUCGGUCGUGCCUUAAGGGGUAUGAACUGGCGUAGCCAACUCUUCACCUUCUGGUGAUUUGUGAUGCCUCCUUAACUGGGUGUUUCAAUGAAUUAGGACUUUUACUUUGAAAAAAUUAGUGUGUUUAAAGCAGGCAUUAUUUGCUUGAAUACAUUAGCAUGGAAUAAUAAAAUAGGACAAUGAUUCUAUUUUGUUGGUUUCUAGGAUCACCAUAAUGAUUAAUAGGGAUAGUUGGG